Molecule: ribosomal RNA, 388 nt
Filed under: uncultured bacterium
Lineage: Bacteria
Description: bacterial SSU rRNA
Rfam family: Bacterial small subunit ribosomal RNA
Source: RNAcentral
AUUGAACGCUGGCGGCAUGCCUUACACAUGCAAGUCGAACGGUAACAGGGAGCUUGCUCCGCUGACGAGUGGCGAACGGGUGAGUAAUAUAUCGGAACGUGCCCUAGAGUGGGGGAUAACGUAGCGAAAGUUACGCUAAUACCGCAUACGAUCUACGGAUGAAAGUGGGGGAUCGCAAGACCUCAUGCUCAUGGAGCGGCCGAUAUCUGAUUAGCUAGUUGGUAGGGUAAAAGCCUACCAAGGCUUCGAUCAGUAGCUGGUCUGAGAGGACGACCAGCCACACUGGGACUGAGACACGGCCCAGACUCCUACGGGAGGCAGCAGUGGGGAAUUUUGGGACAAUGGGGGCGAACCCUGAUCCAGCAAUGCCGCGUGAGUGAAGAAGGCC